RNAcentral lists this ribosomal RNA (593 nucleotides) under Pichia kluyveri. RNAcentral's name for it is "LSU rRNA". It matches the Rfam family "Eukaryotic large subunit ribosomal RNA", at positions 1 to 604 of the family's 3401-position model. The record is from RNAcentral. Lineage: Eukaryota; Fungi; Ascomycota; Pichiomycetes; Pichiales; Pichiaceae.
UCGACCUCAGAUCAGGUAGGAAUACCCGCUGAACUUAAGCAUAUCAAUAAGCGGAGGAAAAGAAACCAACAGGGAUUGCCUCAGUAGCGGCGAGUGAAGCGGCAAGAGCUCAGAUUUGAAAUCUCACCUAGUGUGCGAGUUGUAAAUUGCAGGUUGGAGUCUCGGGUUAGACGUGUGUGCAAGUCCCUUGGAACAGGGYGCCACUGAGGGUGAGAGCCCCGUAKCGUGCAUGUCGACACCUGUGAGGCCCUUCUGACGAGUCGAGUUGUUUGGGAAUGCAGCUCUAAGUGGGUGGUAAAUUCCAUCUAAGGCUAAAUAUUGGCGAGAGACCGAUAGCGAACAAGUACUGUGAAGGAAAGAUGAAAAGCACUUUGAAAAGAGAGUGAAACAGCACGUGAAAUUGUUGAAAGGGAAGGGUAUUGGGCUCGACAUGGGAUUUACGCAUCGUUGCCUCUCGUGGGCGGCGCUCUGGGUUUUUCCUGGGCCAGCAUCGGUUUUCGUUGCAGGAUAAGGACAAUUGGAAUGUGGCUCCUCGGAGUGUUAUAGCCUUUUGUAGAUGCUGCGUAUGGGGACCGAGGGCUGCGGCGGACUCG